GACGAACGCUGGCGGCGUGCCUAAUACAUGCAAGUAGAACGCUGAAGGAGGAGCUUGCUUCUCUGGAUGAGUUGCGAACGGGUGAGUAACGCGUAGGUAACCUGCCUGGUAGCGGGGGAUAACUAUUGGAAACGAUAGCUAAUACCGCAUAAUAGUAGAUGUUGCAUGACAUUUGCUUAAAAGGUGCAAUUGCAUCACUACCAGAUGGACCUGCGUUGUAUUAGCUAGUUGGUGAGGUAACGGCUCACCAAGGCGACGAUACAUAGCCGACCUGAGAGGGUGAUCGGCCACACUGGGACUGAGACACGGCCCAGACUCCUACGGGAGGCAGCAGUAGGGAAUCUUCGGCAAUGGACGGAAGUCUGACCGAGCAACGCCGCGUGAGUGCAGAAGGUUUUCGGAUCGUAAAGCUCUGUUGUAAGAGAAGAACGAGUGUGAGAGUGGAAAGUUCACACUGUGACGGUAUCUUACCAGAAAGGGACGGCUAACUACGUG
RNAcentral lists this ribosomal RNA (495 nucleotides) under uncultured bacterium. RNAcentral's name for it is "partial 16S ribosomal RNA". It matches the Rfam family "Bacterial small subunit ribosomal RNA", at positions 28 to 507 of the family's 1533-position model. The record is from RNAcentral.